UGGGGAAUAUUGCACAAUGGGCGCAAGCCUGAUGCAGCCAUGCCGCGUGUGUGAAGAAGGCCUUCGGGUUGUAAAGCACUUUCAGCGAGGAGGAAGGUGGUGAGCUUAAUACGCUCAUCAAUUGACGUUACUCGCAGAAGAAGCACCGGCUAACUCCGUGCCAGCAGCCGCGGUAAUACGGAGGGUGCAAGCGUUAAUCGGAAUUACUGGGCGUAAAGCGCACGCAGGCGGUUUGUUAAGUCAGAUGUGAAAUCCCCGGGCUCAACCUGGGAACUGCAUUUGAAACUGGCAAGCUAGAGUCUCGUAGAGGGGGGUAGAAUUCCAGGUGUAGCGGUGAAAUGCGUAGAGAUCUGGAGGAAUACCGGUGGCGAAGGCGGCCCCCUGGACGAAGACUGACGCUCAGGUGCGAAAGCGUGGGGCAGCAAACAGGACUAGAUACCCUGGUAGUCCAGCGCUGUAAACGAUGUCGAUUUGGAGGUUGUGCCCUUGAGGCGUGGCUUCCGGAGCUAACGC
Molecule: ribosomal RNA, 513 nt
Filed under: uncultured bacterium
Lineage: Bacteria
Description: partial 16S ribosomal RNA
Rfam family: Bacterial small subunit ribosomal RNA
Source: RNAcentral